CCAAUAGCGUAUAUUAGUGUUGUUGCGGUUAAAAAGCUCGUAGUUGAAUUUCGGGAUUGGGAUAUAUCGGUCGUGCCUUUAGGGGCAUGAAACGGUGUGUAGCCAAUUUCUCACCUUCUGGUGAGUCGGGAUGCUCUUGGGUGUUUCGAUGAACCAGGACAUUUACUAUGAAAAAAUUAGAGUGUUUAAAGCGGGCAUUUUUGCUUGAAUACAUUAGCAUGGAAUAAUAAAAUAGGACGAUGGUUCUAUUUUGUUGGUUUUAGGACUACGUAAUGAUUAAUAGGGAUAGUUGGGGGCAUUAGUAUUCAAUUGUCAGAGGUGAAAUUCUUGGAUUUAUUGAGGACUAACUACUGCGAAAGCAUUUGCCAAGGAUGUUUUCAUUAAUCAAGAACGAAAGUUAGGGGAUCAAAGACGAUUUAUGUACGUCGUAGUCUUAACCAUAAACUAUGCCGACUAGGAAUCAGACAAAGUUCAUUUUUUAACGACUUGUUUGGUACCUUACG
RNAcentral lists this ribosomal RNA (503 nucleotides) under uncultured Glomeromycotina. RNAcentral describes it as "partial small subunit ribosomal RNA". It matches the Rfam family "Eukaryotic small subunit ribosomal RNA", at positions 591 to 1092 of the family's 1831-position model. Lineage: Eukaryota; Fungi; Glomeromycota. The record is from RNAcentral.